This 492-nucleotide ribosomal RNA is filed under the name uncultured bacterium. RNAcentral describes it as "partial 16S ribosomal RNA". It matches the Rfam family "Bacterial small subunit ribosomal RNA", at positions 30 to 507 of the family's 1533-position model. The record is from RNAcentral.
AUUGAACGCUGGCGGCAUGCUUUACACAUGCAAGUCGAACGGUAACAGGCCUUCGUGUGCUGACGAGUGGCGGACGGGUGAGUAAUGCAUCGGAACGUGCCCAGAGGUUGGGGGUAACGCAGCGAAAGCUGUGCUAAUACCGCAUGUGAUCUGAGGUUGAAAGCGGGGGACCAGGCAGCAAUGUUUGGCCUCGCGCCUUUGUAGCGGCCGAUGUCGGAUUAGGUAGUUGGUAGGGUAAAGGCCUACCAAGCCGACGAUCUGUAGCUGGUCUGAGAGGACGAGCGGCCACACUGGAACUGAGACACGGCCCAGACUCCUACGGGAGGCAGCAGUGGGGAAUUUUCGGCAAUGGGCGAAAGCCUGACCGAGCAAUGCCGCGUGAGUGAUGAAGGUCUUCGGAUUGUAAAACGCUGUUAUAAGGAACGAAAAUAUGUUGACUUAACUGUGCACAUCUUGACGUUACCGUAAGAGAAAGCAACGGCUAACUACGUG